Molecule: long non-coding RNA, 379 nt
Filed under: Lathyrus oleraceus (garden pea)
Lineage: Eukaryota; Viridiplantae; Streptophyta; Magnoliopsida; Fabales; Fabaceae
Description: Pisum sativum (pea) long non-coding RNA (PSAT_LNC012521)
Source: RNAcentral
AACAGCCAGGCGGCUAGGGUCACCAUUUGGGAUUCCUCCUUUAUUUUUAUGAGUAGUCUAACAGACCAUUUCAUUUUCAUUUUAUUUUUUUAAUUAAUUUUGAUUUUAACCUAUUCUGGUUUAUAUAUCCAAGUUGUUGUUGUAAAUAAUAACUAGUCAUGAGUGGCCUAGUGGAGAGAGGUUGGUUUCAUGGUCUUUAGUGGAGCGGGUUCGAUACUUAGGGAUAACCAAUUUUUUGUGUUUAUAUUUGUUAUGUUUAUUAUUUUAUUUAAUUUCUUUUUCUAUAUAGUACCUUGCUAUUUAUUUUAAUUUUAGGUUAUUAAUACCCAUUUCCAUACCCUUGUAAGUCGGUUGCUUUUAAGCAUCGCCAUCAACCUCA